Long non-coding RNA from Haplochromis burtoni (Burton's mouthbrooder), 266 nucleotides. RefSeq lists it as uncharacterized. The record is from RefSeq and is a predicted model, not a curated record. Lineage: Eukaryota; Metazoa; Chordata; Actinopteri; Cichliformes; Cichlidae. The transcript is spliced from 2 exons.
GAGAAAUGAUUUCCAUAGAGAGGAGGCUUUGCAUCAUCAGCUGAUCCUCCAGAGAACUGAGAAGGUUUAUAGUCCUGUGACUUCAACACUGCAGGACUCACAUCUGUCAGUCAACACAGCAGAAAGCACAACCACCAUGACUCUCAUCACCAUCCUCAUCUGGACGCUGACCUGCUGCUGUUUUACAGGAUGCAGCGGUCAGGUGACUGUGACUCAACCUCCAGUAGUGACAUCUACUCCUGGAUCCACUGUCACUCUGACCUGUA